RNAcentral lists this ribosomal RNA (465 nucleotides) under uncultured bacterium. RNAcentral describes it as "partial 16S ribosomal RNA". It matches the Rfam family "Bacterial small subunit ribosomal RNA", at positions 338 to 795 of the family's 1533-position model. The record is from RNAcentral.
CCUACGGGAGGCAGCAGUAGGGAAUCUUCCACAAUGGGCGCAAGCCUGAUGGAGCAACACCGCGUGAGUGAAGAAGGGUUUCGGCUCGUAAAGCUCUGUUGUUGGAGAAGAACGUGCGUGAGAGUAACUGUUCACGCAGUGACGGUAUCCAACCAGAAAGUCACGGCUAACUACGUGCCAGCAGCCGCGGUAAUACGGAGGUGGCAAGCGUUAUGCGGAUUUAUUGGGCGUAAAGCGAGCGCAGGCGGUUGCCUAGGUCUGAUGUGAAAGCCUUGGGCUUAACCCAAGAAGUGCAUCGGAAACCGGGCAACUUGAGUGCAGAAGAGGACAGUGGAACUCCAGGUGUAGCGGUGGAAUGCGUAGAUAUAUGGAAGAACACCAGUGGCGAAGGCGGCUGUCUGGUCUGCAACUGACGCUGAGGCUCGAAAGCAUGGGUAGCGAACAGGAUUAGAUACCCUAGUAGUC